GACGAACGCUGGCGGCGUGCCUAAUACAUGCAAGUUGAGCGCUGAAGGUUGGUACUUGUACCAACUGGAUGAGCAGCGCACGGGUGAGUAACGCGUGGGGAAUCUGCCUUUGAGCGGGGGACAACAUUUGGAAACGAAUGCUAAUACCGCAUAAAAACUUUAAACACAAGUUUUAAGUUUGAAAGAUGCAAUUGCAUCACUCAAAGAUGAUCCCGCGUUGUAUUAGCUAGUUGGUGAGGUAAAGGCUCACCAAGGCGAUGAUACAUAGCCGACCUGAGAGGGUGAUCGGCCACAUUGGGACUGAGACACGGCACAAACUCCUACGGGAGGCAGCAGUAGGGAAUCUUCGGCAAUGGACGAAAGUCUGACCGAGCAACGCCGCGGGAGUGAAGAAGGUUUUCGGAUCGUAAAACUCUGUUGGUAGAGAAGAACGUUGGUGAGAGUGGAAAGCUCAUCAAGUGACGGUAACUACCCAGAAAGGGACGGCUAACUACGUG
RNAcentral lists this ribosomal RNA (497 nucleotides) under uncultured bacterium. RNAcentral's name for it is "partial 16S ribosomal RNA". It matches the Rfam family "Bacterial small subunit ribosomal RNA", at positions 28 to 507 of the family's 1533-position model. The record is from RNAcentral.